Long non-coding RNA from Prionailurus viverrinus (fishing cat), 796 nucleotides. RefSeq lists it as uncharacterized. The record is from RefSeq and is a predicted model, not a curated record. Lineage: Eukaryota; Metazoa; Chordata; Mammalia; Carnivora; Felidae. The transcript has 3 exons.
UGUGUGAAGUCUGGGCCGGGGUAGAUAUUUUGACCCGGGGGGGGAGGGGUCGGAGGCCGGAGCAGGGUCCCCCAACACCACCGUUCCCGCGAGUGGCGGGCAGGAGAGGCGAGAGGCCGGACCAUCCCCUUGGCCACCUCCACCGAGGCAGGUUGCCUCAGCUCAGCCAUCCCAUUGCCACAGAGGGUAGCCAAGGGAAAUGCAGCAGAAGAUAUCAGUGUUGAAAAGCCCACCCUAGGAAGGCCAAAGACCCAGUGAGAUCCUGUAGCAGAAUCUCUAAUGUGUACACAUAUCCAAGAAUGGAACAGCCUCACAUAUAAGUAACUGCUGGAACAGCAGAAAGCAUGGUUUCUUCUAAACUGAGGAUUGUAUUUAGAGCACGCCAAAUCAAGACACAGUGUCUUACAGAAUACCAGAAAAUGGAAGUGUCUUCAUUAAAUAGCCCCUAAGUAAUUUAAUUUCAUGCGUAAGCGCUAUUUUUUUUAAAGAGUUCAAAGGAAGCCAGAUCCCUGUGUUGAAAUACGUAUUCCUGUUGCUCGCAUACUUGUCACAGUCUUGUGCUUUAUAGCCCUAGAUGCUGUACCCCCCGUCGGGGAAUCUUUAAAAGUGUGGCUCCUGGCACAGCUGCAUCAGAAUCACGUGUGUUGAUGACUAAAGAUUCCCGGGCCCCAAGAGUCUGGAGGUGUGGGACUGGGGAUCUGACUUUUUAAGCAGUUGACCUGCUUCUUCUGCUCACGACUGUCUGAGAACAGCCGCCCUCUGCUCUGUCUGGAAAGACAACACUAGUUAUAAGAGU